UCUUUGAAACCAACCUACUCUUUUCUUUUCCUGUUGCUUUUCACUAAACACAAUGUCUGUAGUGCCAGACUAAAAUUAUGCUGCUUAAACUUGAUAAAGUACUACAUCAACAACAAAAAAGGAAACUAUGACAGAGAAAUGAACAGAAAGCAAAAAACAUUCAUUGUACGCCAGGCAGUCUUUUCUUUUCCAUCCCACAUUAUGCAGUGUGCAAACGUAUCCAAUUUGAAAAACUGACUCAGAGCAAACUGCUCGUGAGAGAGCGGGUGUGGAGGCAGACACAAAGCUGCUCACAGACCAGAUUAAGUGAGGUUAUUGCCAGCCCUCCCCCCAGCACAUCAGAGGUUUAAGCAAGCUGUGUCCUCCAGGGCAGUGGAGGCUGGCCAGGGUCCCCCCCCGAGCCCCCUCAGCUGUACCUGCCUCAGCCCAGGGCUGGGUGGGCAUCGUUUGUUUGAGGGCUGCCAGAAAUAGAGAUGAACUAGAUGGAGCAGUUCAGCAUAUUAAAUUGUCUCUGUGAAAUUGAGAGUGAGCAUAUGAAGAGGGAGAUUGGUAUUUGCUGUAUUUCUCUUUCUCAGAAACACUAUUAGUGAUCUCCCACUUCAGCACUUCACUUGUUGGUUAGUCCCCAUUCUCCAAAUGCCACUAUGUCACAGAGGGAACAUCAGCCCAGAAAUAAUUAGUAUGGCAAUUUGGCACUCACUCUUCAAAUUACAUCUAGCAGUUGCAUGUAAAAUUGUCUGUAGAAAUCAUCUGGCUCUUACCAAGAGUUAGUUUAAUAAUGGAGUUUGUUUUGCUACCGCCACUAUUAUGUUGAAGUCUGGUGGUUAAAAAUUGUUUUCCUCUCUUGGUGAUGGAAACAUCUUCUAGCAAAAGCAAGAGAAACUAAGCCUUUUCUGUUUUGCUGGAAUGAGGAGUCCUGACCUAAUCUCUCUUCAAAAUAUAAGUGCUGAUUGUGGCUCUCUGGGGAGACCCACCCAAAUGUUGGAUUUCAUACACAUUAUAGACUAUUGCAACUCUUCCUCUUACCACUAAUCAACUAUCAAUUGGUGCAGAGACAAUCGUAAGACCUCCUACUUCUUAUGUGACUACUAAGCCUAAACUGGGCUAUAAUUUUCCUGGUACAGAGGAAAGGUAGCAGGAAAGACUGAAAUACAACACUCCACACCUAGAGAGGAACCAGCUUUUCAUUCAAGAAGAUCCAAUGCCCUCAACUUGAAUGUUACUCACCUCCAUGUUUAAUGGAUAUUUUCAUGACACUUAUGAGAGAAAUGCAGAGUAUAUUUUUCUUUCUGCCAAAAACCCCCCGUCCUGAACCUGAGAAAACUUCUUCAGCAAAACUGGGGGUUUUGCCCCAGCAGGAACAGUCCCCUGAAAAUGUCCCUGUCCAGCACGUCAGCAUCAUCCCAGCAGCAAUAUUUUGUCCAGCCUUCAGCAGAUUACUAAGUGACUUAGCAAUCAGCCUUUCCCAUGACAGCAGGAGGUUCUGCAGCAGACCUUGCAGCAACCAUGGAAAAUGCUACAGAGGCUGCUGAGAGUGGUGUCACCAAGGAAAUCUCCCUUGUAGCUGUCUGCAGGCAGCCAUGGGCUGUGUCCCUGGUGCCCUGCAGCAGUGACAAGCUUCUCUGCUCAUCUCCAGUGCCAGCCCACCUUCAUCUAGAGAGGGCUCCUGUUGCUUCCAGACAUGACAUUGAGCCACGAUGUGCAAAAGGGAGGAGACAGGGAGCUGCUGUCUUCAGAGUAAUGAAGGGUAGAUCUGUGCCUGUAUUCACCCCCUGAAAACAUGUCUGCACUACAGGAAUGUGCUUCUGAAUCUACAGUGAGGAAUUCUCUUGUAAGCCAAUAUAUUUUUUAAUGAAAUAAAAACAAUGGAAAUCCGGAAAAAUAAUGAAGCCCUGUUGGACAGGACCUCUCAGGCUACACAGGCUGUGGCUUACCAGCUAAGGGGCAAGCUAACACACCUGCCUGGGUCUCUUGUAACAGAGAAAUCCCAAGGGAGUCUUAUCAUUCCAGUGGGCAGGUUUUGAGGCUGUGUACUUGCAAUAGGAAAAUAACCACAGUACCUCCACUCUGAUGCCAUUAGGGCCCUUGUAUGAUUUGGGUUUAAUGUCCCCUUCCUCUUCCUUGUCCUUUCCCAAAUCCGUGGCUGGCUUGGUGCUGAUGGCAGUGAGGGUACGUUCUGGUGUGCAAAGACACAGCAUAGAUGAAUUAUAUCCCAGAGUGGCUCUCUGAGUGCAGAGAAAAGCACAGAUUUUCUGUGUGCCUGUGAACAGACUCCUUGAAAGCAGAGCAGAUGUACAAGUUUCGUGGUGAAGAGCAGGUAAAAGUUCUCAUGUCCUGGGUAGGGGCUGCUGGAAACUCCUGCCUGCUGUUCCUUCUGUCCCCAUAGUGCAGCUGCCAAAACCAGCAGUUACAGACAGCGUGGAUCUUAGGGGUACAUCCAUCACUACCUCUAACGCCAUUUCUCUCCCCAGCUGGGCUUUAAGAUCUGUCUGCUGCAGGCAUGUUCUUUUGGAGAUAGUUUUGGAGAUAGUUUUGGAGGUAACCAGCCUUUAUCAGUGUCUAACGUGACAUGAUUAGAAGGAGAAACUUAACUGUAAUCAAUAAUUAGCAUCUGUCUGGACAGAUAUGAAAUGUGCAAUAUAUAAAGCCGAUAUAUAUACACACUCACAAAGUAUUGCAGACAAGUACCUAUACAGCACUGUUUACAUGCCUAAUAUUUUUUGCAGCAAAAUACCACUUCAGAUUAAGUAAUACCAAAUUGUACUCUUGACAAUAAUAUAGAUAUUUCCAAUUUAUUUUUAACUUUAUCUGGCUAAUUCAGACACACUUGGGUAGCAGUAAUACGUCUCUUCCUCUUCCUCUUCUCAUGCUGUUUCUAUUCUGGUACCCAGGGUCUCUCUGGCAAUAGCUCUGCUUCCCAUUCCAUGUUUCCCGUUGGGAAGCUGGAAUACACUGUCAUUGGUAUCGCAGCACCCGACUGCGUGCUGCUAUUCAAAUGGGACAAAAGGAAACGCUGCUCAGUCCCGGGAGCUGUGGGGAAAUGACCAUCGCUAAAUGAUUGACUGGAACUCCUGCUGGCGCUGCGAGCGGGCUCUGGGGACGCGAUGGGCCGCGUCGUGUUCCGCCUUUUGCCUCUGCCUGAGAUGUGAACCCCGG
Non-coding RNA from Taeniopygia guttata (zebra finch), 3156 nucleotides. Lineage: Eukaryota; Metazoa; Chordata; Aves; Passeriformes; Estrildidae. The record is from RefSeq and is a predicted model, not a curated record.